This 520-nucleotide unclassified non-coding RNA is filed under the name uncultured Glomus. Its description in RNAcentral is "SSU rRNA". It matches the Rfam family "Eukaryotic small subunit ribosomal RNA", at positions 569 to 1088 of the family's 1831-position model. Lineage: Eukaryota; Fungi; Glomeromycota; Glomeromycetes; Glomerales; Glomeraceae. The record is from RNAcentral. RNAcentral also lists the same sequence under 1 other name.
AGCAGCCGCGGUAAUUCCAGCUCCAAUAGCGUAUAUUAAAGUUGUUGCAGUUAAAAAGCUCGUAGUUGAAUUUCGGGGUUCAUCCGUUGGUCGGGCUUUUUGGUCUGUACUGGCGUGAUGGAUUCCUACCUUCUGAAUAACCGGCAUGCCAUUAAUUUGGUGCGCCGGGGAAGCAGGACUGUUACCUUGAAAAAAUUAGAGUGCUUAAAGCAGGCUUAUGCCUGAAUACAUUAGCAUGGAAUAAUGAAAUAGGACGGCAUGGUUCUAUUUUGUUGGUUUCUAGGAUCACCGUAAUGAUUAAUAGGGAUAGUUGGGGGCAUUAGUAUUCAAUUGUCAGAGGUGAAAUUCUUGGAUUUAUUGAAGACUAACUUCUGCGAAAGCAUUUGCCAAGGAUGUUUUCAUUAAUCAAGAACGAAAGUUAGGGGAUCGAAGACGAUCAGAUACCGUCGUAGUCUUCACCAUAAACUAUGCCGACUAGGGAUCGGACGAUGUUAAUUUUUUAAUGACUCGUUCGGCGCCU